GACUGCCUCGCACUCCGGCGGGCCUGCCUGCCCGUCCGCCGCCGCCAAGUCUCUCCGCAGACCUCUCCUCCGCGGCACGAGCUUCCGCAACUCCUAGCGCCCGCGGCCACUGCGGGGAGCCCCGGUGCUGAGCAGCAGCGCAUGCGCAGGGCGCCAACCGCCGCUCCUGUCCCGUAACGGGCGCGGCGCGCGUGCGUGAAGUGCUUGUUAGAGGCCUGCCGGCAGCACUAGCGCAUGUGCACGAGCGAGGACCGCACCCUCCCCGCGCAGGCGCACCGACUUCCCGCCGCUGGUUGCCACAGUGAUGCUCCCGCCCUGCGCGGUCCCUGUUGGCAUUGCCUGUCGGCAGGGCCGGGCGGAUGAGCUCGUCCUGCUGGGGAGGAAACGGGCACCCCCGCCCUCAGAAGAGCCGGACCCUCCCUCUGGGCAGGCAGCGGCACUGGGCGGUGCCUCCUGAGGCGGGCGCUGCCUGUGGCGGGCGGUUUGGCGGCCACCGGGGGCGGCCGUGCUCCAGGGUAGCGGCGGCGGGCCCGGCCUCUUCCGCCCGUCAGGGCCCCGGCCGAGCCCGUGGGUCAGGAAGUGCUGAGGCGUUCGAUGAAGCCCGUGGCUCUGCUGCUUCCGGGUCUGGGAAAACUGGCUCCGAAAGAGGAAAGCACACCAGAGCACUUCUUGUUAACAUGUUAAAGAAGUCUGAGCUCUGGAACUCCUCCAAGAACCCAAAUCAGUCCUGGAGAACACUUGUUAACAGGCCGAGAGGCAGAGGGAAGAGGUCCAGCAGCUCACACAACACACCGAGGCUGACGUUCCUGUACUAAUGCAAAUCAUCCCCAGGAGAUGCAAUGGACCUACCUCAGUAUGAGAACCAAAAACUGACAUGAAGAAAUCCUUUGGUUUGUGUCUUUUAACACUUCUGCUAGUUUAUUCAAGUUCUGUCUGAAAUUGCUACACUUACGGGAAUUAGAAGCCCUCUGAAGAAAACCCUGCAAGAACUUGCAAGCGCACAUUGCACAAAUGUACUGAAAAAUACUCCAGUCAGAUGUACCGAGGCACCAUGUCAAAUCCACAAGAACAACUAUGCCAUGUGGCAGUUAUUCAGAGCAGCCCCACGGAGAAGGACUUGGGGAUGUAGAUUGAUGAGAGAAGCUCAACAUGAGCUGGCAGCGUGCACUUGUAGCCCAGAAAGCUGACAGUAUACUGGGCUGCAUCAAAAGAAGUAUGGCCAGCAGGCCAAGGAGGGGGAUUUUCCCCCUCCACUCUCAUGAGACUAUACCUGGAGUUCUGUGUACAGCUCUGGGGCACCCAACACGACAGUGAUGUGGACCUGUUGGAGUGAGUCCAGAGGAGGCCACGGAGAUGCUCAGAGGGCUGGAGCAGCUCUGCUUUGGAGACAGGCUGAGAGAGCUGGGCUUGUUCAGCCUGGAGAAGAGAAGGAUCUGUGAAGACUUUAGAGCAGCUUCCAGUGCCUAAAGAGGCAACAAGAAAGCUGGAGAGAGGUUCUUGACAAGGGCAUAUACUGACAGGACAAGGGGGAAUGGCUUUAAACAGAGGGGCGAUUUAGAUGCGAUAUAAGGAAGAAGUUCUUUAUUGUG
Melopsittacus undulatus (budgerigar) is the source of this 1589-nucleotide long non-coding RNA. RefSeq lists it as uncharacterized. The record is from RefSeq and is a predicted model, not a curated record. The transcript has 3 exons. NCBI's taxonomy places the organism in Eukaryota, Metazoa, Chordata, Aves, Psittaciformes, Psittaculidae.